UCCAUGGCUCAGUGGCAGAGCACCUGCUUUGCAUGCAGAAGAUCCCAGGUUCAAUCCCUGGUAUCUCCA
RNAcentral lists this transfer RNA (69 nucleotides) under Podarcis lilfordi (Lilford's wall lizard). Its description in RNAcentral is "tRNA.Ala". The stretch from base 4 to 62 matches the Rfam family "tRNA", at positions 7 to 64 of the family's 71-position model. Rfam says of the family: Transfer RNA (tRNA) molecules are approximately 80 nucleotides in length. Their secondary structure includes four short double-helical elements and three loops (D, anti-codon, and T loops). Further hydrogen bonds mediate the characteristic L-shaped molecular structure. tRNAs have two regions of fundamental functional importance: the anti-codon, which is responsible for specific mRNA codon recognition, and the 3' end, to which the tRNAs corresponding amino acid is attached (by aminoacyl-tRNA synthetases). tRNAs cope with the degeneracy of the genetic code in two manners: having more than one tRNA (with a specific anti-codon) for a particular amino acid; and 'wobble' base-pairing, i.e. permitting non-standard base-pairing at the 3rd anti-codon position. Lineage: Eukaryota; Metazoa; Chordata; Lepidosauria; Squamata; Lacertidae. The record is from RNAcentral.